This 549-nucleotide ribosomal RNA is filed under the name Salmonella enterica subsp. enterica serovar Holcomb. RNAcentral describes it as "bacterial LSU rRNA". It matches the Rfam family "Bacterial large subunit ribosomal RNA", at positions 1 to 580 of the family's 2925-position model. The record is from RNAcentral. Lineage: Bacteria; Pseudomonadati; Pseudomonadota; Gammaproteobacteria; Enterobacterales; Enterobacteriaceae.
GGGUUGUGAGGUUAAGCGACUAAGCGUACACGGUGGAUGCCCUGGCAGUCAGAGGCGAUGAAGGGCGUGCUAAUCUGCGAUAAGCGCCGGUAAGGUGAUAUGAACCGUUAUAACCGACGAUACCCGAAUGGGGAAACCCAGUGUGACUCGUCACACUAUCAUUAACUGAAUCCAUAGGUUAAUGAGGCGAACCGGGGGAACUGAAACAUCUAAGUACCCCGAGGAAAAGAAAUCAACCGAGAUUCCCCCAGUAGCGGCGAGCGAACGGGGAGGAGCCCAGAGCCUGAAUCAGCAUGUGUGUUAGUGGAAGCGUCUGGAAAGGCGCGCGAUACAGGGUGACAGCCCCGUACACAAAAGCGCAUGUGCUGUGAGCUCGAUGAGUAGGGCGGGACACGUGGUAUCCUGUCUGAAUAUGGGGGGACCAUCCUCCAAGGCUAAAUACUCCUGACUGACCGAUAGUGAACCAGUACCGUGAGGGAAAGGCGAAAAGAACCCCGGCGAGGGGAGUGAAAAAGAACCUGAAACCGUGUACGUACAAGCAGUGGGAGC